ACAGCCUUUGUUAUCUGUGCCUCCCGCAGCACGCACUGGGCAUAGAUUAUGGAUUGGGGGUUAUCCUGGCUACCAGCACAGUCCGGAGGAUGAAGGCUUUCUGGCUGCUUAGAAAACCCAGGGCUGCAGGACCACCAGGGAACUUCUUUCGCUGUGACAUUGUAAUGGGAGGUGGAGACACCUCGAGGAGAAGGUCGAAACAGACAACAGCAAUUACAGUCAAUGACAUCUAUCACUUGAGAAAAUCUUGCCUCAAUUACAGCUUCCUGAAAAGAUAAACCGAAAAUGGGGUCUAUUGGCAAGAGCUCAGACUGCUGAGAAACAGCCGGCAGGAGGAGCCAUCUAGACAUUGCGACGGUCAUAGCUGCAUGUUUCAAGGGCAUCACUAGAUCUGCUUUCUUGGGACUUGCAGACAAACCAGCAGCAGCAGAACACACAGGCCAAGAACAGGAGAGGUGGAGAUGAAACCUGAAGCGUGUGAGGAGUCCCUUGUACUCUGUGCUGCAGGGAAUGGGAUCCCUGCACCGUCAGCACUCGGAGUCGCCAUCAGCUUUGCACGGAGGUGUUGGUUCUGCAGCACUGCGAAGAAGCGAGCAGACCUAGAUGGGGUUGUUCCUGCGGUGUUGUAGGCGCCAAUGUGACUUGUUUACAGCAGUACAGAGAUUAAUUUUCUCUGCGAUUUUAGAUACAAAACCAGCAAUCGCUGUGGGCUUUUGUCCCGUUUUAUCUCUGUCUCUAAUUUUUGUAGUUUGGCUUGGUGUUUAGUGUUUGCUUGGCUGUUUGCAAAGUCUGUGAAAAUUUCUAGGAGCUUUCUGGACUUUUUCCAGAGUUAAAAAAAGUGGGAGAUCUGUGCCUUUGCAUCUGAUUCUCUAAGUUAUGGAAUACACUGAGUUGACUGAGAUCCUGAUGCCCAGAGUCGUCGUUUGGGCUCUGUGAUAGGUUUGUGUGUCUCCCACCAGGUUGGUGUGAUGGAAAAGGGCCCCCAACACUUGGCUGUUCCUUCUACCAGCACUUAUGGUUGUGGUUCGUGGGGGAGGCCCCUCUCCCACAGGGCUACAAAGCUCACUGUGACCUACCAAACCAACAUAUCUGCCAUGAUAAAAUCCCAAGGCAACAGAGGGACUGAGACGCUGUGCUUCAAAACAGGUAAAAUGCAGGUUCUGUGGGAACAGAGCAAAGCAUAACAGCCAGAAUACUGGGUUUUAUGCUCAGUAUGUGAGACUUGGCAUGGCCUUCACACUCCUAGAAGUCGUAUUUUGCCGCAAGUGGUAUAUUUCUAGAAGCUGUACUCAGCUGUCUCUAAGCUAAGCUAGGAGACAGAUGAAUGCAAUGCAGUCACUACCUAUAUGAUAUAUUACUUAAGGAAAAGAAGGUUAUCUACUUUUGUAAAUUUACUUUCAAUCCCAAGAUAAUUUUUUUGUUUAGAUUACCUAUACCGUGAACCUUGUCCUCACGUAUGUCUGCAAAUCAUCACCGCAGCGCUGGAGCAGCGUGUGCAGGGAAUCAGAACUGAUCCACCAGGUACGUGCGGCACAGCGCUCGGGAUCCCCGGGGCUGGGUCUGCAGCGGUGCGGCGGGACCCAAACCCGGCUGCAAGGUGGGUGGGAGCUCAGCUGCAGACAAGGGGUCACAAGCUUGAGAGGGCGAGCAGAAGAGAAGCCUUCAGCAGAGAAAAGUGGAAAACGCUGCUCCCCAGGAUGCAGCCCAGCGCGCUUGCGAGGGUUUGUGUUGCCAGCGUGAGGUUUUCUGCCAGGCUGCAAGGGAGGAGGACGCGCGGUCUGUGCGCGCUCUCCCUGUGACACCCCUGUUAUUACUGUCACACGCAGAUGGCUGACACCCGCCGUGACAGAGGCAACCGAGGGCUUGGUGCUGCGCUGCACUCGACAACUUGUCGGGUGUGUGAUAGUCAGGCUGCCCUUCCUGUGGGAGGAGAUUUAAUGGGAACUGUUGCUUUUUGGUGUGUUUGUGGUUUUUCUCCUCCAAAAAUAGCUAUCUGUUGGAGUGGGAGGAUUUCUGAGGUGGGAGAGGAUUAGCAGUGAUGACACGGAUGGUCAUAUUUCAGGACAAACACCUGUACAUCAGUCUAAGCCUGUAAGUAGCAGCCUGUUAAGCUGAGUUCACCUCGGCAGCACUCGCCCUGUGUCUGGAGCCGAGUGCCCACCCUCGGGGUGCGGCUGGUGCUACAGGCUCGGCCUUUUCCCAUCCUCUGCACCGGUGCAAAUGGAGGAGCUACGAAUGUUUACACUUGACAAGACAAAACACAUGACAGAGGUGAUGACAUCUUUUUAAUACACCUUCUGCAUUUCUGUCUUUUCCUAUUCCUGACCCUUCUUGGAGCUUUUCCUUCAUGUUUUGUUUUUAGGGGCUUUUUAGUAGAGAAAUUAUUUUUAACGUUUGAGAGGGCAGAUCAAGUCUUCAGUGCUGCCCCUUCUGUUCGGCAGAAGAGCUGCUGGCAGGGACGUGUUGCCUGGUUUUCCAGAGAUGAAGCAUACAGCUGUUCCAACAUCCCACGCCCCUUCCAACCCGCAGGUGUGCACUGAGAAAUCAGGAUGUUAACUGGAAUCCUCUGUUAUUGCCACUGGCUUCUCCUCUUUCAAAAAGGACUCAGCCUCCUGGAAUUUCUGAAUGAACUGCUGCAAACUCCUGUUUCGUGAACAUUGCGUUACAAAGUGUUUGGAGAACAUUUCCUAUAGAUUACAUGGCUUAAUGACAAAGUAUUAAUGAUUGUUAAGUUACUUUGUGAACAAACACCCUGCACCUGUGACCUGGUGCUGAAAAUGCUAUAGGGCCACAGAGCCCAAUCCAGUCCUCCCAUCAACUUCCACAGUGAUUUCUGAUGUUACAGUAUUUUUGUGCCUGUUCCACUAUUCCAUUAUCAAGGCUUUGAAGAUAUGAGAUCUUUGGCUAGUUUGUGCAUCCAAAGAAAUCAAUGUGAAGCUAAUCAUCCUCUUUUACAGAUGCAGAAACUAAGAUUUCAGCAAGGAUUUAUGCAAGUGAGAGGAAAAUAGGACUCAAAUCUUGUAUAAGGACGCUCUUGUAAAUACAUGUCUUGUAUUUCCACUAAUAAGUGUUUGGAGUUCCUUCUGGCUUUGUCGUUUGGGUAUUACCGGAACAAGCAUCGUGCCUUCAGGAUGCUGCAUUCACCACUUCAGGGUUGUGCUGAUCAUCACUGUCCUUGCUGAAACACGUCACUCCAGUUUCAUUCCAGGAACUACGAGUGUUAAUUUCAUAAGAAAUUUUUGUUAAUUGUCAUGUAAACAGUUUUGCGGGAGGGGAAGAAUCAGCUGUAUCAGAAAGACGACCCAGUUCUGCGUGUACAGAACGAUAGAGGCUGUGGCAAAACCCCGUUCCCGAAUCUUCUCGAGUGCUUUUGGGAAAGGCUGCAGCCCUGUGGAAGCGCGGCUGGGCUGGGCGCGCUGCUGCCGUGCAGCUGCCCGUGAAAACCACAGCGCCUGCCAUUGCCCCAGCAAAGAACAUCGCAUUUUCUAGCAGGCAUAAGGAGCUGCCAGCGUCAUUGAAAUUUUGUAGCUCUGAAUAGUUGCUGUAAAUUUCAUCUGGGCAAUAUCCCCAAUUGUGUUGGAUAUAAUUACAUUCAAAGUUCUUUUUAAUCAUUUCUUUGGAACGUGUCCCAAGAUUCAGCAGUUUUGGAUUGGGACAGAAAUUGAAUUAUUUAUUAUCAAUUAGAGGUUGUCAGAGCCUUUGACACCACGUCGAGCUGGCAUUGUUUGGUAUCUGUAUUAAUGAUCGUAUAGAUAAAAGCAUGAAAUUAUUGGUUAGGAAGCUUUUAUUCCAGGCUGAGAAGGCUAGUUUGCAUACUUGGCUGGAUGCUUCCCUACACUCACUGUCAUUAUGGCCCUGUUUAAUCAAGUCAAUGUUGCCUGUGGAAUCGCUUGCCCAUAAAUUGAUGAAUUGAGUGUAAGAAUAAUUCCCCCUAGAUGGAACCCAGUUGUGACUUCCCUUGCCAUCCCAGCCCAGCGCAUUCAGACUCUUGUGCUUUGGCUGUGGUCUGCUAUAGACCCUGGAACGAUCUUUGUCACAUCUGUUCUUUUCUUACGAGAGCAAUUUAUUGAUGGCUGUUGGUGCUGUGGUAAUGCUGGAUGCUGAGCUUUUGUCCCUCCAGGUGAGGGGAAGGAGAGGACAACCUCACAGGUGUCCCGAGCUCUCUUCACAGCUCCCUUCUGCACCCUUCUCUCUGAAAAAUAAUUGUUCUUAUUGCGUAUUGGCACUUUGCGAGAAACCUCAGCUGGAGAGGGAGAUCACGUAACAGGAGACAGCAGAGGGCAACCCCAGAUACGCUGGUGCAGAGAGGGAAAGGGGCAGGAAAUCAGGCAAAAGGAGCAGGGGGAAGAUGCCGCUUGUCUCCUCGAGAUGCCAAAAAGAGGGGCUGAGGAGAAAGGAUGCCCAUGCGAUGUUAUAUGUGGAUUUGGCUGUUGCCAGGGUUAGUAAACCCUUAGUGGGAGAAGGAGGAAAAAAGCCCUUCUGAGGACAUACUUGCACAGUCUUUUGUAGCAAAUCCAUGUCUUUCCUGCCCGCGCUCUGAGGUGCUGGAAGCACCGUGCACUAGUGCAGCAGGGGCUGACCCAGCGCGUUACGAGACGCAAUUUGAACACGGUUAUAAGAAGUUACACGCUCAAUCCAGGGAGAGAGCGGGAAUUUCUCAGAUGAUAGAUCCAAUAAUUCGUGUCACCAGUUUUACUCCCCACUGGGGUCAGUUUCCCCCAUAGCAAUCUUCUGUAUCCAGUAUCGUUUCUUGAAAUGUGUGUAAAUCUCAGUGGAAUUACUGAUCUGUUCGGGUUUUUCUUCUGAUUUCCACCUCACACAGGUUUAUCAGGGCAGGGCUGUCCCGCGCUCACAAGGAAACCAGCGCAGACGCCACUUUUCCAAUUAUUUCAUUACAGCAAAGGAAGCUGGAGCGAGCGAAAGACACAAGUUCUCGUUUUACUGCACAAUGCUGAGAUUUCAAAAUCUUUUCCAUUCCAGAAUGAAUCAUGUUUGAAAUCAAACUUUCUUACAAAACGAAACUCUGGAAGCAUUGUUUUGUUUUGAUCAGAGCGGUUCCUCUGUUUUCAGUGUCUUUAAACUGAAAAAAUGUUAUUUUAUAAAGCUUUAUGUAACUCUUUA
Molecule: long non-coding RNA, 5121 nt
Organism: Columba livia (rock pigeon)
Lineage: Eukaryota; Metazoa; Chordata; Aves; Columbiformes; Columbidae
Exons: 5
Source: RefSeq, a predicted model, not a curated record